RNAcentral lists this ribosomal RNA (1962 nucleotides) under Triticum aestivum (bread wheat). Its description in RNAcentral is "partial small subunit ribosomal RNA". The record is from RNAcentral. Lineage: Eukaryota; Viridiplantae; Streptophyta; Magnoliopsida; Poales; Poaceae.
AUGGCCACGAAGCACCCCCACGGGGACGCUGAUCCGUCCACUUCGCCUCCGCCGCCGCCGAGCCGCCGCCCGCGCGGCUUCGCCUCCGCCUCCACCCCCGCGGCGCCUCCUCCCCCGGGGCGGCGGCGCGGCGAGCGGGAGAGGGAGCGGGAGAAGGAGCGGACGAAGCUGCGGGAGCGGCAACGGCGCGCCAUCACCAGCCGCAUGCUGGCCGGGCUGCGGCAGCACGGCAACUUCCCCCUCCCCGCCCGCGCCGACAUGAACGACGUUCUCGCCGCGCUCGCCCGCGCCGCCGGGUGGACCGUCCACCCCGACGGCACCACCUUCCUCUCCUCUCCCCAGCCCUCUCUCCCUCCCCCUGCCCAAUUCCAGGGUGCUUUCCAGGCUACUUCUCUGGAAACCCCAGUUUUUACCAACUCUCUGAACAGCUACGCCAUUGGGACGCCAAUAGAUUCCCAGGCUUCAGCCCUACAAACAGAUGAUAGCCUGUCACCGUCGUCAUUGGAUUCAGUGGUGGUGGCAGAGCAAAGCAUAAAGAAUGAGAGCUAUGGGAAUUCAAGUUCAGCCAAUUCUUUGAAUUGUAUGGGAAGUGAUCAGCUGUUGAGAGCAUCAGCAGUAUGGGCGGGUGAUUUCACGAAAACUCCAUAUAUACCAGUGUACGCCUCUUUGUCUAUGGGCAUUAUCAAUUGUUAUUGCCAAUUGGUUGAUCCUGAGGCUGUACGCGCUGAACUAAGGCAUCUGAAGUCUUUGAAUGUUGAUGGAGUUGUUGUAGACUGUUGGUGGGGGAUUGUGGAAGCCUGGACUCCUCAAAAGUAUGAAUGGUCUGGCUACAGGGACCUUUUUGGUAUUAUUAAAGAGUUCAAGCUAAAAGUUCAGGUUGUAUUGUCAUUUCAUGGGUCUGGGGAGUGUGGAUCUGGUGGUGUGUUAAUUGCUCUCCCUAGGUGGGUAAUUGAAAUUGCACAAGAGAACCAAGAUAUAUUUUUCACUGAUCGAGAAGGUAGGAGGAAUACAGAAUGCCUUUCCUGGGGAAUUGACAAAGAGCGAGUCCUUCGAGGGAGAACUGGCAUUGAGGUUUAUUUUGAUUUCAUGAGGAGCUUUCAUAUGGAAUUCAGAAGCUUAUCUGAAGAGGGUCUUAUUUCUGCUAUUGAGGUUGGAUUGGGUGCUUCUGGAGAGCUAAGAUACCCUUCGUGUCCAGAAAAAAUGGGCUGGAGAUAUCCUGGUAUUGGCGAGUUUCAGUGUUAUGACAGGUAUAUGCAAAAGAACCUACGGCAAUCAGCCUUGACACGGGGGCAUUUGUUUUGGGCCCGUGGGCCUGAUAAUGCUGGCUACUAUAAUUCAAGGUCACAUGAGACUGGCUUUUUUUGUGACGGAGGUGAUUAUGACAGCUACUAUGGGCGUUUCUUCCUUAAUUGGUAUUCUGGAAUCCUCAUAGAUCAUGUGGAUCAGGUGCUCUCACUUGCUACUCUUGCAUUUGAUGGAGCAGCAAUUGUGGUGAAGAUCCCCUCCAUCUAUUGGUGGUACAGAACUGCAAGCCAUGCUGCAGAGCUUACUGCAGGAUUCUACAACCCUACAAAUCGAGAUGGAUACUCUCCAGUUUUCAGAAUGCUCAAGAAGCAUUCCAUAAUUCUUAAAGUGGUUUGUUAUGGCCCAGAAUUUACAGUUCAGGAGAAUGAUGAAGCAUUUGCUGACCCAGAAGGUUUAACCUGGCAGGUUAUGAACGCAGCAUGGGAUCAUGGUCUAUCUGUAAGUGUAGAGAGUGCUCUUCCAUGUCUUGACGUGGACAUGUACUCUCGGAUCCUUGACACAGCGAAGCCGAGGAAUGAUCCUGACCGUCACCAUCUCUCAUUCUUUGCAUACCGUCAGCGAACUCCGUUCCUUUUGCAGAGAGAUGUGUGCUUCUCAGAGCUUGAGACCUUUGUAAAGUGCAUGCACGGGGAGGCUACCCAGAACUUUGUAGAUUGA